This is a long non-coding RNA of Melospiza melodia melodia, 2245 nucleotides long. RefSeq lists it as uncharacterized. Lineage: Eukaryota; Metazoa; Chordata; Aves; Passeriformes; Passerellidae. The record is from RefSeq and is a predicted model, not a curated record. The transcript has 2 exons.
GCCGGCGAGACCCCGGAGCGCCGACAGCGCGUCAGACAGCAGCGAGAGGGGGGAAAAUACCACACACACACACAAAAAGGAAUAAUAAAGGAAAGAGAUCCUUUAGAGCAAACCAAGGAUGAGAACUGAAAAGAAAUUGGCUGAAGUGUUCUGUGGGACUUUAAAGAAAUAUAUUCAUAAAUCUGUUCAGAACUUCUGAAAGCUUUCAAAAGUUUUGUGAUCGUGCAAAAAAUAAAUGGCAAAAAAAUUAUCCUUAAGAGACUUGACAACUGAAAAUACAUGUUCAUAGUCAAGGAACUAAACCAUCCAACAAAUUGGAGAGCAGUAAAGGAAGCUCUUCCCUCUGUUCAGCAAAGCUGUGAUGAAUUGACUGAGUUGUCACUAUUUUACACAUCCUAUGCUUUAUGUGACAUUAAUUAGUUAUUCCAGUGAGCAGAAGUCUACUCAAGAAAUCACCAGCACAGCAGACCCUAACUAGCAUCCCUGUUCACUCUAGAAAGCUUUAAUUUUCUAGCACCAUGUGGAUGCAGACAGCACACACAACUACACCCCUGAUUACCGAGGAGAUUUAAGGCAAAACUGAUGAAACACAGACAGAUUUACAUUGUCCAUGCAUAACAUGCAGCUCAGACUUACCUGCUCUUUUCUAAACCACUGUCUCCUAGCUUUAUUUUAAAAUCACAAACAAAUUAUUACUAAAUAAAUGUAUUUUUCCUUCCUCUAUGUGAAACAUUAUCCCUAACAUAAAAUCAAAUAUCUGGUAGUUUCUUUUUUUAUUCACAGACUGCUCCUUACAAAUUUAAGUGAUAGGGCAGUUUGAAGGCCUUCCCUUGGUAUUUUGGCCACAUGUCCUAAAACAGAACAAACUUGAAAUAAUGCUUAUUUUUCUAUCUGUUUAUAGAUGCCUCUGGUUUUGCCUCAGAAACAGAAAUGUCUCUUGUCAUAUCUGAAAUAUACAAAUUGGGAAACAUUCCAUCUCUUAGUUUUUCUAACGAAUUAGCAUCUUUAAAAAGGCUUCUGCUGGAGGAGAACUUCCUAGGACGUAAUUUGAAUGGUUAGCAGCACAUUUGAUCUACUAGAAAUAAUUAUAUAAAACAUAUUUGAAUUAAAACAGAUUUUUGACAUUUCUGUUCAAAUCCAAUUUUCUGUGUAUUCCCUGAAAACUGAACACUUAAAAGUACUGGGAUAUAAAUCAGUCAUUGAGGAAAGUCCUGCCCUGCCAUAAAGGUUUGAGAGAGAACUGAGAUUUCAAUCAGUUAUUAAGAAGAAUGGUAUAAUGAUAUUACUCCAGCAGCCAUGAUCAGAGCAAUAAAUAUUUACAGCUAUCAAGAGUAAGAAAUAUGGAAAGCUUUGUAGGGACAGGAGGAAAGGCUGGAGACACCAGGCGGGAAAGGGAGAAAGAAGGUCCUGAAAUCAGACUGCCAAGCAAUAUGAAAGGGCAGAACAGCAAUGGGGAGCACAAAGGGGCUGCUGGGAUCUGAGUACAACAUUUAUGUAGGUGUAGGAAGAAAAUGUUUCAGAACAGAAAGAGAUAAUAUUUAAUUUUUUAAUCCCCGCAGGAAUUUACGUUCUGAGGUAAAUUUAUUUUGCCUAAGGCCUGCAAGCCUUGCUUUAUGCAACAAGCAGUGAAAAUUUUAUUCAUAUCAAUGAAGUUAAUAGAACCAUUCCAACACUGACACUUUAGGAAAUUGAAAGAGGAAAUAAAGUUAGGAGCAUCCACUUCAAUUUGUGUCCGUGAUCCUCUGUGCUUGCCCUGCCAAUAAGCACAUUUAGUCACUUGAAGGGAAUCUUAUUACCAUACUGUCUCUCCCAGCAAUGUAUUUUGAGUACAUUCCUAUGAAAAGGACAGGAUGGCACACAGCUGGAGAUGUAGGAAUGUCAGUUGUCAGCCAUGAGAUGGGACAGCUCAAAGUCUACCCUACCUCUACUGUUAGGGAAAUGUUAUUAAUUUAAUGAAGAUUUCAAUGUAUCCAAUGGCUAUAUAUCCUUGAUCAUCAUUCCACAAGGGGAAGAAAACAGAUGGUUUCAUCCCAAGUUAAUGACGGUAUUUUAACUCACUUCUCCCUUCCUUUAUGCUGAAGGUAUAAGAAGUGUGAGGAGAACAUUCUGCUCCUGGAUUCACACUUCAGGUACACACUCUGCACUGGACUUCCUGCUCUUCUUUCACAAUUACUUACCUGCAAAUUUGAAGCUCUAUCAUUCACUGUACAUUCAAUAUAUACCAAAUAAAAGCAUAUCAACUUCA